UGGGGAAUAUUCCGCAAUGGACGAAAGUCUGACGGAGCAACGCCGCGUGAGUGAUGAAGGUUUUCGGACUGUAAAGCUCUGUUGUUUGGGACGAAAGUGCCUGUUGCGAACAGUUACGGGUAUUGACGGUACUAAACGAGGAAGCCACGGCUAACUACGUGCCAGCAGCCGCGGUAAUACGUAGGUGGCAAGCGUUGUCCGGAAUUAUUGGGCGUAAAGAGCAUGUAGGCGGGAAUCUAAGUCUGUUGUUAGAAUGCGGGGCUCAACCCCGUAUUGCGAUGGAAACUGGGUUUCUUGAGUGCAGGAGAGGAAAGGGGAAUUCCCAGUGUAGCGGUGAAAUGCGUAGAUAUUGGGAGGAACACCAGUGGCGAAGGCGCCUUUCUGGACGAUAACUGACGCUGAGGCGCGAAAGCGUGGGUAGCAAACAGG
RNAcentral lists this ribosomal RNA (429 nucleotides) under uncultured prokaryote. Its description in RNAcentral is "bacterial SSU rRNA". It matches the Rfam family "Bacterial small subunit ribosomal RNA", at positions 355 to 776 of the family's 1533-position model. The record is from RNAcentral. RNAcentral also lists the same sequence under 1 other name.